CUAAGAUAGUAAGAGCAUACGGUGGAUGCCUUGGCGAUAUCUGCCGAUGAAGGACGCGACAAGCUGCGAAAAGCUGCGGAGAGGUGCAAAUGACCAUUGACCCGCAGAUCUCCGAAUGGAGCAAUCCGGCAGGGUUUAUCCCCUGUCACCCAUAUCUUCGAAUAUGGGAGGGAACCGGGCGAACUGAAACAUCUAAGUAGCCCGAGGAAGAGUAAUCAAACGAGAUACCCCAAGUAGCGGCGAGCGAACGGGGCCUAAGCCCAAACCGGUGAAGGAAACUUUGCCGGGGUUGAGGACUGCCAUACGAACUCGACCAUUAGCCGAAAUUCCUGGGAAGGAAUGCCGAAGAAUGUGAAAGCCAUGUAAGCGAAAAUGGAAAAGGGACAGGCAGCACCAGAGUACCGCGGGACACGAGAAACCCCGUGGGAAGCCGGGGGGACCACCCUCCAAGGCAAAACACAGAUAUCGACCGAUAGCGCAUAGUACCAUGAGGGAAAGGUGAAAAGCACCCCGGGAGGGGAAUGAAACAGAACCUGAAACCGUAUGUUUACAAGCAGUCGAAGACCGCUUAAUAAUAAGGUCAACGGCGUGCCUAUUGAAGAAUGAACCGGCGAGUUAUGAGGUCCAGCAAGGUUAAGCAGGAAAUGCGGAGCCGAAGCGAAAGCGAGUCUUAAUAGGGCGACAAGUUGGAUUGCAUAGACCCGAAACCACAGUGAUCUACCCAUGUCCAGGCUGAAGCACAGGUAAAAAUGUGUGGAGGGCCGAACCUAUAUCCGUUGAAAAGGGUUAGGAUGAGGUGUGGGUAGGGGUGAAAUUCCAAUCGAACGUGGAGAUAGCUGGUUCUCCCCGAAAUAGCUUUAGGGCUAGCCUCGAGGUAGAGAUUGCAGGCGGUAGAGCACUGAUCAGGAGAGGGGCCUACCCGGCUACCAAACCCAGUCAAACUACGAAUGGCUGCAAUUAUACUCGGGAGUCAGACUACGACUUAUAAGGGCCGUGGUCAAAAGGGAAACAGCCCAGAUCAUCAGCUAAGGUCCCAAAUGCCGUGCUAAGUGGCGAAGGAUGUGGCGUUUCAUAAACAACCAGGAUGUUGGCUCAGAAGCAGCCACCAUUUAAAGAGUGCGUAAUAGCUCACUGGUCGAGAGACGCUGCGCCGAAAAUGUCCGGGGCUCAAGCACGGAACCGAAGCUAUGGCAUUGACUAUGUCAAUGGGUAGGGGAGCGUUCUUAACAGGAAGAAGCAUGACCGGAAGGACAUGUGGACCGUUAAGAAGUGAGAAUGCCGGUAUGAGUAUCGAAAAGAAAGGUGAGAAUCCUUUCCACCGAAAGCCCGAGGGUUCCUGAGCAACGAUCGUCGUCUCAGGGUAAGUCGGGACCUAAGCCGAGGCGGAGACGCAUAGGCGAUGGACAACAGGUUGAAAUUCCUGUACCGGAUACAAUCGUUUGAGCGAUGGAGCGACGCAGAAAGGCAUAUGAUCGCGCGACUGGAAGAGCGCGUCCAAGUGCGUAUGUUGAAUCGGAGGCAAAUCCCUGAUUCUAAAAGCAGAGACACGAUGGGGAGUUAUACGAAAGUAUGACGAACUCAUAGAUCCUACACUGCCAAGAAAAACUUCUAGUGAGAAAGUAUCCGCCCGUACCGUAAACCGACACAGGUAGGCGGGGAGAGAAUCCUAAGGUGCGCGGGAAAACCCUCGUUAAGGAACUCGGCAAAUUGCAUCCGUAACUUAGGGAGAAGGAUGACCUUAAGUAAGCGAAAGGGAGAAACCCCUGGAACAGAACAAGGUGGCAGAAAAGAGGCCCAAGCAACUGUUUACCAAAAACACAGGUGCCUGCGAAAGCGAAAGCUGAAGUAUAGGUGCUGACGCCUGCCCGGUGCUGGAAGGUUAAGGAGAGAUGUCAGAGCAAUCGAAGCAUUGAACUGAAGCCCCAGUGAACGGCGGCCGUAACUAUAACGGUCCUAAGGUAGCGAAAUUCCUUGUCGGGUAAGUUCCGACCCGCAUGAAAGGCGUAAUGAUUUGGGCACUGUCUCAACGAGGGGCCCGGUGAAAUUGAAAUACCUGUGAAGAUGCAGGUUACCCGCGACUGGACAGAAAGACCCCAUGGAGCUUCACUGCAGCUUGAGAUUGAAUCUCGGUGAUGCAUGCACAGGAUAGGUGGGAGACUUUGAAGUAUGGGCUUUGGCUUAUACUGAGUCGAUGUUGGGAUACCACCCUUGUAUUGCUGAGAUUCUAACACGGAGGCUAACAACCUCGUGGACCAUCUCAGGUAGGCGGUUUGACUGGGGCGGUCGCCUCCGAAAGAGUAACGGAGGCG
Molecule: ribosomal RNA, 2309 nt
Filed under: human gut metagenome
Description: bacterial LSU rRNA
Rfam family: Bacterial large subunit ribosomal RNA
Source: RNAcentral